This 545-nucleotide ribosomal RNA is filed under the name uncultured bacterium. RNAcentral's name for it is "bacterial SSU rRNA". It matches the Rfam family "Bacterial small subunit ribosomal RNA", at positions 353 to 912 of the family's 1533-position model. The record is from RNAcentral.
AGUAGGGAAUAUUGCGCAAUGGGGGAAACCCUGACGCAGCGACGCCGCGUGAGUGAUGAAGGCCUUCGGGUUGUAAAGCUCUGUUGUACGGGAAAAAGUUCUGAUUGUACCGUACGAGAAAGGAUCGGCUAACUUCGUGCCAGCAGCCGCGGUAAGACGAGGGAUCCUAGCGUUGCUCGGAAUCAUUGGGCGUAAAGCGGGUGUAGGUGGCUUGAUAAGUCAGGUGUGAAAGCCCAGGGCUCAACCCUGGAAGUGCAUUUGAUACUGUUAAGCUUGAGUGUUGGAGAGGUUACUGGAAUUCCUGGUGUAGUGGUGAAAUACGUAGAUAUCAGGAGGAACAUCGGUGGCGAAGGCGGGUAACUGGCCAAACACUGACACUGAGACCCGAAAGCGUGGGGAUCAAACAGGAUUAGAUACCCUGGUAGUCCACGCCAUAAACGAUGGAUACUUGUUGUUGGAGGUAUUGACCCCUUCAGUGACGAAGCUAACGCGUUAAGUAUCCCGCCUGGGGAGUACGGUCGCAAGAUUAAAACUCAAAGAAAUUG